RNAcentral lists this ribosomal RNA (266 nucleotides) under Priestia megaterium. Its description in RNAcentral is "Bacillus megaterium partial 16S ribosomal RNA". It matches the Rfam family "Bacterial small subunit ribosomal RNA", at positions 559 to 824 of the family's 1533-position model. The record is from RNAcentral. Lineage: Bacteria; Bacillati; Bacillota; Bacilli; Caryophanales; Bacillaceae.
CGUAAAGGGCUCGCAGGCGGUUUCUUAAGUCUGAUGUGAAAGCCCCCGGCUCAACCGGGGAGGUGCAUUGGAAACUGGGGAACUUGAGUGCAGAAGAGGAUAGUGGAAUUCCCCGUGUAGCGGUGAAAUGCGUAGAUAUGUGAAGGAACACCAGUGGCGAAGGCGACUCUCUGGACUGAAACUGACGCUGAGGAGCGAAAGCGUGGGGAGCGAACAGGAUUAGAUACCCUGGUAGUCCACGCCGUAAACGAUGAGUGCUAGGCGUU